UGUACCGGACGCUCAAUGAACGAGCGUAUAAAACAAUAUGGCAACUGUGUAGACUCCCCCAUACAACUACACGCUGUAUGGGAACCCUUGUACAUGUUACUUGUUACCGUACUAUAUGUUAUACCUAUUGUUACCUUGUAACCAAAACCAUUUGUAUUCUUGUGAUGCUACAUAUCACCCACUGUUCAGUUCUUGUAAACAAUGAAACAAAAUCUUAAUAAAAAUUAUAUUGAAAAACAAAA
This is a non-coding RNA of Pelobates cultripes (western spadefoot toad), 242 nucleotides long. The record is from the annotation of a GenBank genome assembly. NCBI's taxonomy places the organism in Eukaryota, Metazoa, Chordata, Amphibia, Anura, Pelobatidae.